This 1336-nucleotide ribosomal RNA is filed under the name Mycobacterium sp. Its description in RNAcentral is "bacterial SSU rRNA". It matches the Rfam family "Bacterial small subunit ribosomal RNA", at positions 91 to 1438 of the family's 1533-position model. Lineage: Bacteria; Bacillati; Actinomycetota; Actinomycetes; Mycobacteriales; Mycobacteriaceae. The record is from RNAcentral.
UCGCGGGUGGAACGGGUGAGUAACACGUGGGUGAUCUGCCCUGCACUAUUGGGAUAAGCCUGGGAAACUGGGUCUAAUACCGGAUAGGACUACGGCCUGCAUGGGUUGUGGUGGAAAGCUUUUGCGGUGUGGGAUGGGCCCGCGGCCUAUCAGCUUGUUGGUGGGGUGAUGGCCUACCAAGGCGACGACGGGUAGCCGGCCUGAGAGGGUGUCCGGCCACACUGGGACUGAGAUACGGCCCAGACUCCUACGGGAGGCAGCAGUGGGGAAUAUUGCACAAUGGGCGCAAGCCUGAUGCAGCGACGCCGCGUGGGGGAUGACGGCCUUCGGGUUGUAAACCCCUUUCAGCACAGACGAAGCGCAAGUGACGGUAUGUGCAGAAGAAGCACCGGCCAACUACGUGCCAGCAGCCGCGGUAAUACGUAGGGUGCGAGCGUUGUCCGGAAUUACUGGGCGUAAAGAGCUCGUAGGUGGUUUGUCGCGUUGUUCGUGAAAACUCACAGCUUAACUGUGGGCGUGCGGGCGAUACGGGCAGACUGGAGUACUGCAGGGGAGACUGGAAUUCCUGGUGUAGCGGUGGAAUGCGCAGAUAUCAGGAGGAACACCGGUGGCGAAGGCGGGUCUCUGGGCAGUAACUGACGCUGAGGAGCGAAAGCGUGGGGAGCGAACAGGAUUAGAUACCCUGGUAGUCCACGCCGUAAACGGUGGGUACUAGGUGUGGGUUUCCUUCCUUGGGAUCCGUGCCGUAGCUAACGCAUUAAGUACCCCGCCUGGGGAGUACGGCCGCAAGGCUAAAACUCAAAGGAAUUGACGGGGGCCCGCACAAGCGGCGGAGCAUGUGGAUUAAUUCGAUGCAACGCGAAGAACCUUACCUGGGUUUGACAUGCACAGGACGCGUCUAGAGAUAGGCGUUCCCUUGUGGCCUGUGUGCAGGUGGUGCAUGGCUGUCGUCAGCUCGUGUCGUGAGAUGUUGGGUUAAGUCCCGCAACGAGCGCAACCCUUGUCUCAUGUUGCCAGCACGUCAUGGUGGGGACUCGUGAGAGACUGCCGGGGUCAACUCGGAGGAAGGUGGGGAUGACGUCAAGUCAUCAUGCCCCUUAUGUCCAGGGCUUCACACAUGCUACAAUGGCCGGUACAAAGGGCUGCGAUGCCGUGAGGUGGAGCGAAUCCUUUCAAAGCCGGUCUCAGUUCGGAUCGGGGUCUGCAACUCGACCCCGUGAAGUCGGAGUCGCUAGUAAUCGCAGAUCAGCAACGCUGCGGUGAAUACGUUCCCGGGCCUUGUACACACCGCCCGUCACGUCAUGAAAUUCGGUAACACCCGAAGCCGGUGGCUAGA